Molecule: ribosomal RNA, 93 nt
Filed under: uncultured bacterium
Lineage: Bacteria
Description: partial 16S ribosomal RNA
Source: RNAcentral
CCUUGUACACACCGCCCGUCAAGUCAUGGGAGCCGGUAGAGCCCAAAGUCGCCACGAUACUGUGGUGCCCACGGCAAGAUCGGUGACUGGACU